This 70-nucleotide transfer RNA is filed under the name Corynis lateralis. RNAcentral's name for it is "tRNA-Arg". Lineage: Eukaryota; Metazoa; Arthropoda; Insecta; Hymenoptera; Cimbicidae. The record is from RNAcentral.
AAAUUAGAAACAAUGAAUUUGUAUUCAGUUUCGACCUGAUAUUUAGUUUUUUAAAAUAAACUCUAAUUUU